RNAcentral lists this ribosomal RNA (1946 nucleotides) under human metagenome. Its description in RNAcentral is "bacterial LSU rRNA". It matches the Rfam family "Bacterial large subunit ribosomal RNA", at positions 3 to 1977 of the family's 2925-position model. The record is from RNAcentral.
UCAAGUUACAAAGGGCGCAGGGCGGAUGCCUUGGCACCAGGAGCCGAAGAAGGACGUGAUAAGCUGCGAAAAGCUGCGGGGAGGAGCAAAUAUCCAUUGAUCCGCAGGUAUCCGAAUGGGGAAACCCGGCAGAAAGAACUUCUGUCACCGUAUGAUGAAUCCAUAGUCAUACGGAGGGAACCCGGCGAACUGAAACAUCUAAGUAGCCGGAGGAAGAGGAAGAAACAUCGAAUCCCUAAGUAGUGGCGAGCGAAAGGGGACGAAGCCCAAACCAAGGAUUUAUCCUUGGGGUAGAGGACCACAUACGAAGAAGCAGUAGGUAGCAGAACGGUUUUGGGAAAGCCGGCCAAAGAGAGUGAAAGCCUCGUAUGCGAAACAGACUGUGAUUCAGUGGUAUCCGGAGUACUACGGGACACGAGAAACCCCGUAGGAAGCAGGGGGGACCACCCCCCAAGGCGAAAUACUACCUGGUGACCGAUAGAGUAUAGUACCGUGAGGGAAAGGUGAAAAGAACCCCGGGAGGGGAGUGAAAGAGAACCUGAAACCCUGUGUCUACAAGCUGCGGAAGAGCGACUAACGCUCGACCGUGUACUUUUUGUAGAACGGUCCGGCGAGUUGCCGUUGCUGGCAGGUUAAGUACUUAAGGUACGGAGCCGAAGGGAAACCAAGUCUUAACAGGGCGGUAAGUCAGUAACGGCAGACCCGAAACCGGGUGACCUACCCAUGGCCAGGAUGAAGUCUGCGUAAAAGUGGAUGGAGGUCCGAACACACGUCUGUUGAAAAAGGCGGUGAUGAGCUGUGGGUAGCGGAGAAAUUCCAAUCGAACUCGGAGAUAGCUGGUUCUCCCCGAAAUAGCUUUAGGGCUAGCCUCGGUAUAGUCUAAUGGAGGUAGAGCACUGAAUCGCUGCGGGGGCGUCAAAGUCUACCAAUGCGUAUCAAACUCCGAAUGCCAUAUAGAUGUUUACCGGGAGUCAGACUGUAUGAGAUAAGUCGGACAGUCAAAAGGGAAACAGCCCAGACCAUCUGCUAAGGUCCCAAAGUGUAUGUUAAGUGGUAAAGGAUGUGGGGUUUCGAAGACAACUAGGAUGUUGGCUCAGAAGCAGCCAUUCAUUCAAAGAGUGCGUAAUAGCUCACUAGUCGAGAGGUCCUGCGCCGAAAAUGUCCGGGGCUGAAACAUAACACCGAAGCAAUGGAAUAUACCGCAAGGUAUGUUGGUAGGGGAGCAUUGAUAACACGAAGAAGCGGUACCGUAAGGAGCCGUGGAGAGUUAUCAAGAGAGAAUGCCGGAAUGAGUAGCGAGAUGAAGGUGAGAAUCCUUCAGGCCGUAUAUCCAAGGUUUCCAGGGUAAAGCUGAUCUUCCCUGGGGAAGUCGGGACCUAAGCUCAGGCUGAGAAGCGUAGGCGAUGGACAACUGGUUGAUAUUCCAGUACCUCUGGCUGUCAGAAAUGUGGGGACACGGAAAUUCAGGAAGUGCCUGUAAAGGAUUCAGGUGCAAGCAUGGUUUAUGCCGGGCAGGCAAAUCCGCCCGGGUAAGUGAGCUGUGUGAUGCGGACCGAAAUAUAAGUAGGGAAGCUUCUGGGAGAGCCGUCGAGAAAAGCCGCUAUUGUGCAGCCAGAGCCCGUACCGUAAACCGACACAGGUGGAUGGGGAGAGUAUCCCAAGGCCGGCGGGAGAAGCAUUGUUAAGGAACUCGGCAAAAUGGCCCCGUAAGUUCGCGAUAAGGGGUGCCUGUAGAGAUACAGGCCGCAGAGAAUAGGCUCAAGCAACUGUUUAGCAAAAACACAGGUCUAUGCGAAACCGUAAGGUGAUGUAUAUGGGCUGACGCCUGCCCGGUGCUGGAAGGUUACGGGGAGUGCUUAGGAGCAAUCCGAAGGUACGAACUUAAGCCCCAGUAAACGGCGGCCGUAACUAUAACGGUCCUAAGGUAGCGAAAUUCCUUGUCGGGU